UUUCCGUAGGUGAACCUGCGGAAGGAUCAUUACUGAGUGCGGGCCCUCUCGGUCCAACCUCCCACCCGUGAUCAUUGUACCUUGUUGCUCCGGUGAGCCCGCCUCACGGCCGCCGCGGGGCAUCUGCCUCCGGGCACGCGCUGGCCGAAGACAACCUUGAACUCUGUCUGAAGUUUGCAGCCUGAGCGAAAACUAAAUAAGUUAAAACUUUCAACAACGGAUCUCUUGGUUCCG
This 234-nucleotide unclassified non-coding RNA is filed under the name plant metagenome. RNAcentral's name for it is "partial contains small subunit ribosomal RNA, internal transcribed spacer 1, and 5.8S ribosomal RNA". The record is from RNAcentral.